RNAcentral lists this ribosomal RNA (450 nucleotides) under uncultured bacterium. Its description in RNAcentral is "bacterial SSU rRNA". It matches the Rfam family "Bacterial small subunit ribosomal RNA", at positions 354 to 796 of the family's 1533-position model. The record is from RNAcentral.
GUGGGGAAUAUUGGACAAUGGGGGAAACCCUGAUCCAGCAACGCCGCGUGGAGGAUGAAGGUCUUCGGAUUGUAAACUCCUGUUAGGGGGGACGAAGGGAUGUCGGUGAAUAGCCGGCAAACUUGACGGUACCCCCAGAGGAAGCCCCGGCUAACUCUGUGCCAGCAGCCGCGGUAAUACAGAGGGGGCAAGCGUUAUUCGGAAUUAUUGGGCGUAAAGGGCGCGUAGGCGGCCUUGUAAGUCUUGGGUGAAAUCCCUCAGCUCAACUGAGGAACUGCCUCGGAAACUGCAAGGCUUGAGGCCGGGAGAGGGUAGUGGAAUUCCCAGUGUAGCGGUGAAAUGCGUAGAUAUUGGGAGGAACACCGGUGGCGAAGGCGGCUACCUGGACCGGUUCUGACGCUGAUGCGCGAAAGCGUGGGUAGCAAACAGGAUUAGAAACCCCUGUAGUCC